This 35-nucleotide transfer RNA is filed under the name Diadema antillarum. RNAcentral describes it as "partial tRNA-Lys". The record is from RNAcentral. Lineage: Eukaryota; Metazoa; Echinodermata; Echinoidea; Diadematoida; Diadematidae.
UUUAAAAGACAGUAGUUAAACUCAACUAUUAAGGA